UUCAUUUAUGGCCGACUUUCUCCAUGGACAGACUAAUAUAGUAAUAUUUGCUACAUGAACAGAAAUUAUUGGAGCUGGAGUUAUUGUCUGUGUUAGUUUCUCUGGAAACAAACAUACGUACGCUGAGUCAAUCCAGCCCCACAAGACUGAUGAAUUGAAAUCACAUGCCUGCACCAAAUCAAUGGCGAAAGAGAAAGGACAAGAUCACGAGAAGAUCGAAUUCGAUUUCCCUCUCUAUAAAUUCAAUUCCUUCAUAAUUAACUAAUACCCGAUUCAGAAAAAUGAAAAUGAGAGGAAUCGGAACCGGAAUCCUUACCUUCUGCAGGCUCUUCCUCGCCGCCGCACUACUUCCGAUCACCUUUUCCAAAACCGAACGAUGUAACCCACAAGACAAAGCAGCGCUCUUCAACAUCAAGGAAAGCCUCGGCAACCCUUACCUCUUAGCCUCAUGGACUCGUGACUCCGACUGCUGCACCAGCUGGUACCAAGUCGAAUGCGACCGGACCACCAACCGGAUCACUUCCCUCACCAUCUUCGCCGGCGAACUCUCCGGCCAGAUCCCUCCCGCAGUGGGGGACCUCCCUUUCCUCGAAACGCUCGUCUUCCGCAAGCUCACCAACGUCACCGGUACAGUCCAGCCGGCGAUCGCCAAACUCAAACGACUCACGUUCCUCCGGCUCGACCAUUUAAAUCUAACUGGUUCAGUCCCUGGUUGGCUUGGCCAGCUCAAGACACUGACCUUACUCGACCUCUCGUUCAACUCGUUCACCGGCUCGAUCCCGGCGGAGCUUGCUAACUUGCCCAAUCUGGAGUCGCUCUACUUAGAUAGGAACAAGCUUACCGGACGGAUCCCGGACUCGUUCGGAAAAUUCUUGAAGUUCCCGUCGCUGUCCCUCUCGCACAAUCAGUUGUCCGGCGAGAUCCCGGCGUCGAUGGAGAAUUACAACACUGAUUACUCAAUCGAUCUGUCGAGGAACCGAUUAGAAGGCGACGCUUCGCUGUUGUUCGGCGGUGACAAGAGCGUGCUGUUCGUGGAUAUAUCGAGGAAUCUGUUCGAGUUCGAUUUCGGGAAAGUGGCGGCGUUUCCUCCGAACAUGACGAAUUUGGAUGUGAAUCAUAACAAGAUCUACGGGAAGAUUCCGGCGGGGUUGGUGAAGCUGGAUCUGCAGUUUUUUAAUGCCAGCUAUAAUCGGUUGUGUGGGGAGAUUCCCGCUGGCGGGAAGUUGCAGAGCUUCGAUUCCACGGCUUAUUUCCAUAACCGGUGCCUGUGUGGAAGCCCGCUUGAGCCCUGCAAGUGAAGAGCUGCUGGGUUGCUAGCUCUGAGUCAAUAACCAGAACCUGGUUCAACCGAAUAUUUACGUUGUUCAAUAAAGCGGAUUGAGAUUUGGUUUUACUAGCCCGUUUAAAGAUGAUUAGGUUUUAUGUACCAAUUCACCCAUUCGGAUUUAAUUACAUCAUAUAUCACUGAAUUUUAACUCUUCCACACUCACCAUUAAAUUUUAUUUAGGGCAGCCGAUAUUAUUAAAUUUUAAUUUUAAUUUCAUCGAUUAUCAUUUCGUUAAAAUAAUUGACAGAAAUCUGAUAUCGACGUUGCCCAAUCAUACCAAAUGCUGACAUGGACGCCAUGUUACAAUAUUUUAAGUUUUAAGUUGAAAACUCAAAACGAACCGGUUUUGUUCAUGAACCAAAACGCUCUCAUUACAAAGUACUGGUGUUGCUCACUUCUCCAUCAUCUUACAACUGUAAAAAAAAAAACAGAAGAUUGAAUGUUUUAAUUCAUCUCUGUUACAACUUACAUGAACAUGGUUGCAGAGCUAAUAAAGGCAACUGAACUUUUUAUGAAAACUCUUACUUCAUCAUCUCUUCCUCCUUCUUGUUUAUCUCUAAAUCAGCUGAACCGAUCUCAAAUCCUCCAGAUCCCAGCUCAGUGCCAAACCCAGAUGACCAACAAUUACAACUACAUCAAUCCUCUGGUAGUGAAUCCUUCCCCGAUGAAGCGACCCUCUUCGACAGCCGCUAAGCCGCCGACAAAGCUCUACCAGGGAGUGAGUCAACGCCACUGGCUCAGGACCUUCCAGACUGCCGAAGAAGCUGCUCUUACAUUAAUUGGUUCACUAGCUGCUCGAGACCUUGAGUAGCUGGUUGGUUUUCGUAACUAAGGCUGGCCAUUUGUGCUACCAGGUUGCUUGGUUGGUGGCCGCGGUGGUUGUGUUUAACCAUGGUGGUCAGAGGAAUAAGUAAGAAUUUAACCAUGGUGUUGUAUUUUAGUUUAUAGGUAAACGACGCCGUUUAAAUUUUUUAAUAAAAAUAUAAGUAAAAUUCUGACGUGAUAGAGGUUAACGGCCAAUCAGUCCACAUCAGAUGUCUGUCAAUCAUUUUAACGGACUGAUAGUCGAUGAAAUUAAAGUUGAACUUUAGUGGUAUCAAAUGCACUAAAUAAAGUUUAAUGGGGAGUGUGAAAGGUUUUAAAAAGUUCAGUGGUAUAUCGUAUAAUUAAUUCUAUCAAUAUGUUUUAUUAUUGUCCAUAUAUUUAAAUGUAUGGUAAAAUAAUUUGGUUCCCAUAAAAUUGUAUAUGAUCAAAGGUAUAAAAACACAAUUCAUGUAAUGACAGCUCAACNNNNNNNNNNNNNNNNNNNNNNNNNNNNNNNNNNNNNNNNNNNNNNNNNNNNNNNNNNNNNNNNNNNNNNNNNNNNNNNNNNNNNNNNNNNNNNNNNNNNNNNNNNNNNNNNNNNNNNNNNNNNNNNNNNNNNNNNNNNNNNNNNNNNNNNNNNNNNNNNCUUCAAAUAAUAAUUAAAUAAAAUUAAAAAGUAAUUUUUAUAAUUUUUUAUUAUUGUUGUUAGUAAAAAUGUAUAUGGAGUUGUUUAAAGGAUUCUCAAUAUAAAUUAGAGAUUGCUGCCUCUAAAAAAAGAAACGUAUAGGACGCUUAAGGCUAAUAAUCCCUAAACCCUUCCUGCGCCGAAAACGGCUUGGUUAUUCGACUCAGAACUCAAUUUUUGGCGACCCUAACUUAAGUACAGUUGGUCGUGUUUUUUUUCUACCAUAUUAUGCUUCAUUCUACUUUCUCUGCAAAAGGCUAUUCAAGGUUUAUUUGAACAUGGAAAGGUAUGAACUGUUCCUCUCGUUUCCACGAAGCAAUGAAGGUUGACUGUCGGGUUUUUCUCGGCAGAUGGUUUGUGGUCGUGGGAUUGGACUGUUCUCCCUCGCCUCUUGUUUCUGAUUAAUUUGUACAGCUAGUGGUUAUGCGAGUUGCAGCGUAAUGGCGGCUGUGGGGAUCGAAGGUGUUAUCUUUGUCUUCAUCUUUAGCUCUCUUAAUAUUGUUAUAUAUUCAGUUACUUCAUCAACUAUUACCAACUCGGAAAACAUAAUGGGAAUAAUCAGAAUCGGAAAUCUUACCUUCUGCCUGCUCAUCCUCGCCGCCGCACUACUUCCGACCACCUUCUCCAAAACCGAACGCUGCAACCCGCAAGACAAAGCAGCGCUCUUCAAAAUCAAGCAAAGCUACGGAAACCCUCGCCUCUUAGCCUCCUGGACUCGCGAUUCCGACUGCUGCACCAGCUGGCACCAAGUCCAAUGCGACCCCACCACCAACCGAAUCACUUCCCUCGGCAUCUUCGACGGCGAACUCUCUGGCCAGAUCCCGUCAGCAGUUGGCGACCUCCCUUUCCUCGAAGCGCUCGUCUUCCGUAAACUCACCAACAUCACCGGCCAAGUCCAGCCGGCGAUCGCCAAACUCAAACGCCUCAGGGUCAUCCGGCUCGACCAUUUAAAGCUGACCGGUUCGAUCCCCGCUUGGAUCGGCCAGCUCAAAUCCCUGACCAACCUCGACCUUUCGUUCAACCACCUCAGCGGCUCGAUUCCAGCGGAACUCGCUAACUUGUCCAAUCUCGAGUCGCUGUACUUGAUUCGGAACAAGCUCACCGGCCCGAUCCCGGACUCGUUUGGCAAAUUCUCGAAAUUCCCGUCGCUGUACCUCUCGCAGAACCAACUCUCCGGCCCGAUCCCGGCGUCGAUGGCGGAUUACAACGCCGAUUUCGAAAUCGAUCUGUCGAGGAACCGAUUGGAAGGCGACGCUUCGCUCUUGUUCGGCGGUGACAAGAGCGUGCUGUUCAUCGAUAUCUCGAGGAAUCUGUUCGAGUUCGAUCUGGGGAAAGUGGCGGCGUUUCCUCCGAAAAUGAUGAAUUUGGAUAUGAAUCAUAACAAGAUCUACGGGAAGAUUCCGGCGGCGUUGGUAAAUCUGACGAAUUUGCAGUUUUUCAAUGCCAGCUAUAAUCGGCUGUGUGGAGAGAUUCCCGCCGGCGGGAAGUUGCAGAGCUUUGAUUCUACGGCUUAUUUCCAUAACCAGUGCCUGUGUGGAAUCCCGCUCGAGAGCUGUAAGUGAAGAACUGCUGGGUUGCUAGCUGAGUCGAUUGGUUGAACCAGAACCUGGUUGGUUCGACAGAAGAUUUAGGUUGCUGAAUUUGUAUUUAAGUCCGGUUCGAUACAUGUUUAAAUUUCUAUUUUAAUUAAACCGUAUUAAUAUUUAACGUACUAAAAUUAUCAUUACAAAUCUAAACUCCUUAAAAUCUAAUUUCUAAACCCCUAAAUCGGGAAACAUCUUCAGAGUCGAGCCCUCCAUAUCUCGUCGCCCGCCAGUUGCCAGCCGCCUUCCGUUGAACAGCAGUCGCCGUCAACAGCUCCGUCGAAAUCUGAUAAUAAGCCCCUGUACUAAGACUCUAGUUAUAGAGAAAAACAAGUACAUUUAACCAGAAAACAAGUUGAAAUGAAAGACUUUCAACCUGAAUAUAAAGACUGGUGAUAAGGUCCGUUCCGUUGCGGUGAAUCGGUUCUUCAACGGUCUGGAUUGUUUCAAUUGAAGAAGUAUAUUCUAACUUCUUUGGAGAAAAACAAUCGGUUCUUCAAAGUAUCGAUCUCAAUUUCGCGCCUUGGUUGUCAUAUACUCGACAAAUCAGCAACGUCAAUCACUCCGCCGUCAUCGAAACAAAUAUCCCUAAUAGAAAAGCUUAUAAGUAUAAUCAUCAAUCAAUUAUCCAAAAUAAUAAAUUUAUUAUUCAAAUUCAACUUAAUGCAUGUUUCAAUCGUGAAUCCGUCGUGACUUAUCGGGCACCAGGUUUGUGCUCGUGGGAUUGGAAUUUCUCCUCGUACAGCUGUUUAUAUUAAUAUACACUCUAGUGGUAAUGCGAGCUGCCGCGUCUUUGACUUCCUUCAGUAUUGGCUGACUUUCUCCGUCGACAGACUGAUACCAAAUCACAUGCCUUCCCAAUCACAUCCGAAAGAGAAAGGAAGAGAAGUUCAAAUUCGAUUUCCCUCACUAACAAUCACUGUAUAAAUUCAAUUCCAUCAUAAUUAACUAAUACCCAAUUCCGAAAAGAGGAAAAUGAGAGGAAUCGGAAUCCUUACCUUCUGCCGGCUCUUCCUCGCCGCCGCACUACUUCCGAUCACCUUCUCCAAAACCGAACGCUGCAACCCGAAAGACAAAGCAGCGCUCUUCAACAUCAAGGAAAGCUUCGGUAACCCUUACCUCUUAGCCUCCUGGACUCACGACUCCGACUGCUGCACCAGCUGGUACCAAGUCGAAUGCGACCGGACCACCAACCGGAUCACUUCCCUCACCAUCUUCGCCGGCGAACUCUCCGGCCAGAUCCCUCCCGCAGUGGGGGAC
This 5659-nucleotide long non-coding RNA is filed under the name Linum usitatissimum (flax). Its description in RNAcentral is "long non-coding RNA (LUSI_LNC003312)". Lineage: Eukaryota; Viridiplantae; Streptophyta; Magnoliopsida; Malpighiales; Linaceae. The record is from RNAcentral.